UACAGGGGGGGCAAGCGUUGUUCGGAAUUACUGGGCGUAAAGGGCUCGUAGGCGGCCAACUGAGUCCGACGUGAAAUCCCAAGGCUUAACCUUGGAACUGCGUCGGAUACUGGUUGGCUUGAAUUCGGGAGAGGGAUGCAGAAUUCCAGGUGUAGCGGUGAAAUGCGUAGAUAUCUGGAGGAAUACCGGUGGCGAAGGCGGCAUCCUGGACCGACAUUGACGCUGAUGAGCGAAAGCUAGGGGAGCAAACGGG
RNAcentral lists this ribosomal RNA (253 nucleotides) under uncultured bacterium. RNAcentral describes it as "partial 16S ribosomal RNA". It matches the Rfam family "Bacterial small subunit ribosomal RNA", at positions 524 to 776 of the family's 1533-position model. The record is from RNAcentral.